This 326-nucleotide ribosomal RNA is filed under the name uncultured eukaryote. RNAcentral describes it as "partial 18S ribosomal RNA". It matches the Rfam family "Eukaryotic small subunit ribosomal RNA", at positions 1470 to 1796 of the family's 1831-position model. The record is from RNAcentral.
CCCUUAGAUGUUCUGGGCCGCACGCGCGCUACACUGAUGCAUUCAACGAGUUUCUUCCUGGUCCGAGAGGAAUGGGUAACCUUUUGAAAGUGCAUCGUGAUAGGAAUAGAUUAUUGCAAUUUUUAAUCUUGAACGAGGAAUUCCUAGUAAACGCAGAUCAUCAAUCUGCAUUGAUUACGUCCCUGCCCUUUGUACACACCGCCCGUCGCACCUACCGAUUGAAUGGUCCGGUGAAGCCUCGGGAUUGUAGCAAUCUACCUUUAUUGGUGGUUUGUUGCAAGAACUUGUCUAAACCUUAUCAUUUAGAGGAAGGUGAAGUCGUAACA